Molecule: non-coding RNA, 727 nt
Organism: Punica granatum (pomegranate)
Lineage: Eukaryota; Viridiplantae; Streptophyta; Magnoliopsida; Myrtales; Lythraceae
Source: RefSeq, a predicted model, not a curated record
UGAAGAUUCAAAUGGUUCUCUCCUUCAUCAUCAAUUCCUUAGCAGAAUCAGCAUAUAUAUCUUCUUCUCUGAUCAUCGAGAACAUAGUAAUAUUUGAUGAGAAUGGCCAAACCAGUCUCCCUACCGAUGCUCUUACUUCUUGCAUUCGCCUUAGUCACAGGGAAGUUCUUGGGAAUGGCAAAUGCAGGAAUAUGCGUAGAAGAUAUGGGGCCAUGUGACAGAAUGUGCGGCAGCAUCUGCAAACUGGCACAUAGAGGCGGACAGGGGAUGUGCAGCGAUGUUUCCAACCAAAAGGUCUGCAAGUGCUUCCAUGAGUGUGCCAUCUCCUCCUCCCCCUCAAACAAAGCCUAAUAGUAAUAUGUGCCAAACGAGUUUCGGUGUCUGGGAUGAAUCGUGCAAGGUUGAGGACUGCAAAUCGGCGUGCCGCUCGAUUUUCCCCGGAAGAGAACGCUGUGGGUUUUGUGACACGGUAUCAGAGCCCAGGUGGAAUUCUUGCAUUUGUGAGCACAAUUGCUAGUUGCUGUAAAAGGUCGUGCCUUCUGGUGCAAUGUAUAACCAAAAAUCCUUUCGACCUUCUCUGUUUUUGAGAACACGAGCUUAAUGGUAGGUUAGAAUGCAGUGUACGGUAAAUAUAUAUUUCUAAUGAUUUUCUUGUGCAACUUGCCAUUGUGACAGACGCAUGCCAAAAUUUUCUUGGCAUAAUAUAGUUAUGUUACAUUCAUCCAGA